Molecule: ribosomal RNA, 484 nt
Filed under: uncultured bacterium
Lineage: Bacteria
Description: partial 16S ribosomal RNA
Rfam family: Bacterial small subunit ribosomal RNA
Source: RNAcentral
AGUGAACGCUGGCGGCAGGCCUAACACAUGCAAGUCGAACGGCAGCACAGUGAUUGCUUGUGGUUACAGGGGGCGACGGGCGGACGAGGCAUAGGUACAUCGCUGUCUACGGUUUAGAAGGUGCGAAAGCGGGGACUAUUACGCCAUUAGCGCAUACGACGAACGGGGGGGAGCUUCGGACCUUCGGCCAUUGGGUGAGCCUAGGUCGGAUUAGCUAGUUGGCGGGGUAAAGGCCUACCAAGGCGACGAUCCGUAGCUGGUCUGAGAGGAUGAUCAGUCACACUGGAACUGAGACACGGUCCAGACUCCUACGGGAGGCAGCAGUGGGGAAUAUUGGACAAUGGGCGCAAGCCUGAUCCAGCCAUGCCGCGUGUGUGAAGAAGGCCUUCGGGUUGUAAAGCACUUUUGGUUGGAAAGAAAAGCAGUAAGUUAAUACCUUGCUGUUCUGACGGUACCAACAGAAUAAGCACCGGCUAACUUCGUG